UGACCAGACUCCUACGGGAGGCAGCAGUGAGGAAUAUUGGUCAAUGGCCGAGAGGCUGAACCAGCCAAGUCGCGUGAGGGAUGACGGCCCUACGGGUUGUAAACCUCUUUUGCCGGGGAGCAAAGAGCGGGACGCGUCCCGCCUCGAGAGUACCCGGAGAAAAAGCAUCGGCUAACUCCGUGCCAGCAGCCGCGGUAAUACGGAGGAUGCGAGCGUUAUCCGGAUUUAUUGGGUUUAAAGGGUGCGCAGGCGGAAGAUCAAGUCAGCGGUAAAAUUGAGGGGCUCAACCUCUUCGAGCCGUUGAAACUGGUUUUCUUGAGUGAGUGAGAAGUAUGCGGAAUGCGUGGUGUAGCGGUGAAAUGCAUAGAUAUCACGCAGAACCCCGAUUGCGAAGGCAGCAUACCGGUGCACAACUGACGCUCAGGCACGAAAGCGUGGGUAUCGAACAGGAUUAGAUACCCCGGUACA
This 468-nucleotide ribosomal RNA is filed under the name uncultured bacterium. Its description in RNAcentral is "bacterial SSU rRNA". It matches the Rfam family "Bacterial small subunit ribosomal RNA", at positions 328 to 794 of the family's 1533-position model. The record is from RNAcentral.